UACAGAGGUCUCAAGCGUUGUUCGGAUUCAUUGGGCGUAAAGGGUGCGUAGGCGGCGCGGUAAGUCGGGUGUGAAAUCUCGGAGCUUAACUCCGAAACUGCAUUCGAUACUGCCGUGCUUGAGGACUGGAGAGGAGACUGGAAUUUACGGUGUAGCGGUGAAAUGCGUAGAUAUCAGGAGGAACACCGGUGGCGAAGGCGGUUCUCUGGGCAUGAUCUGACGCUGAGGAGCGAAAGUGUGGGGAGCGAACAGG
Molecule: ribosomal RNA, 253 nt
Filed under: uncultured bacterium
Lineage: Bacteria
Description: partial 16S ribosomal RNA
Rfam family: Bacterial small subunit ribosomal RNA
Source: RNAcentral